RNAcentral lists this ribosomal RNA (519 nucleotides) under uncultured eukaryote. RNAcentral's name for it is "bacterial SSU rRNA". It matches the Rfam family "Eukaryotic small subunit ribosomal RNA", at positions 1161 to 1700 of the family's 1831-position model. The record is from RNAcentral.
AGGGCACCACCAGGAGUGGAGCCUGCGGCUUAAUUUGACUCAACACGGGAAAACUCACCCGGCCCGGACACUGGAAGGAUUGACAGAUUGAGAGCUCUUUCUUGAUUCAGUGGGUGGUGGUGCAUGGCCGUUCUUAGUUGGUGGAGCGAUUUGUCUGGUUAAUUCCGAUAACGAACGAGACUCUAGCCUACUAAAUAGAUCGUCGGCUUACAAACGCUGAUGAGACUUCUUAGAGGGACAGGCGGCGAUUCAGCCGCACGAAACAGAGCAAUAACAGGUCUGUGAUGCCCUUAGAUGUCCGGGGCCGCACGCGCGCUACACUGAAGGGAUCAGCGUGCUUUUUCCAUUGACUCUGGGAAUAGUGGAACACUUGAUGAACCUUCUUGAUGAUUGUCAUAGGUUAUUGCUAUUAUUCUUGUUGAACGAAGAAUUCCCAAGUGUGACGAGUCAUCUCCUCGUGAUGACUACGUUGCUGUUCGUUGUACCGCCGGCCGCUGCUACUACCUGAUGAAUGUUGGG